Lycium ferocissimum is the source of this 1477-nucleotide long non-coding RNA. RefSeq lists it as uncharacterized. The transcript has 3 exons. NCBI's taxonomy places the organism in Eukaryota, Viridiplantae, Streptophyta, Magnoliopsida, Solanales, Solanaceae. The record is from RefSeq and is a predicted model, not a curated record.
UAUCUUUCACAUAUUUAUGGUGAAACAAUUGCUUUAGAUAUGAUUCAAGAAGUUCGAACCCACAGUUUUGAUCUCUUUUAAGAGUAUAAGAGUAGAGUACCUGCUACACAUGGAGCAUCUAGUUCUAAUGAAGUUAUUGGUCUUUUUGAGGUUGAUCGUCUGUCUAGCUUUGAUAGAUUUUUCGCUUCGAGUAGGGCUAAUGUGGAGACAAGAUCGGAGCUAGAUUUGUAUUUAGAAGAAAGUUUGCUACCUCGAACUCCAUCGUUCGACAAUUUAAGUUGGUGGAAGACAAACGGAUUAAAAUUUCCUACUUUGCAGAAGAUGGCUUGUGACCUCUUAGCCAUUCCCGUCUCUACCGUUGAUUCAGAAUCGGCAUUUAGCACUAGUGGGAGGUUGAUUAGUCUGCAUCGUAGUAGACUUCAUCCUACUACUUUGGAGGCUUUGAUGUGUGCUCGCACUUGGUUAUGGAACGAAAUAAAUGGUUUGACUUCAACGGUCGACAAAGUUUCAUGUCCAACAUUACUUGACGAAGAGGAACAGCCGGAUUCAAGUGGACUUACCGGUCCAUAGCUAAAAUUGUCCAGCCACUAUAUUCCUUCUCUGUGGCUCUAACUGUGUUUUUAUUUUCAUCUCAAUGUUCAGCUCUUAUCUGUUUCAUAUUUUUUGGAGCAAAUUGUGUACCUAGCAUCUGGGAUGCCUUCCAGUUUACUGGUGCCACAGCUACUGUCUCUGUUGGUUUCAUUUUCCCUGCUGCUAUUGUCCUUAGGUGAGUACCCCUGUCUACCAUCUUCCUUCUCCAGGCUGGUUUAACAAUGAAUCUUAACUCUUAUUAAUUGUCCAAUCGUUUCUUUGAUGAAAAUUCUUGAAAAGAAUUUAACCAUUGCCCGUAAUCAUUGUCUCAUAUUCAAAGUUAAUUUUCCACCUUUUCCAUUGAUCAAGGAUACACAUGGGAUCACAACCAAGAGAGACAGGUUGGUGUCAUGGGUUAUGAUACUAUUAGCUGUUUCUUCAAGUAUUGUGUCAAUCUGUAGUGACAUUUACAGUGUUUUCAAUAUUGGAGUUGAAGCUUAGAAGAAUGCGAAAAAAAUUGGAUACUUUGGCUAUUUAGAUCUUAGCCAAAAUUUGGAGUAUGUUGCUAUGGUAGCAGUUGGAGUAUGUUGCUAUGGUAAAUGAACAUUCUGGCAUUGCAAGCAAUGAGGUUGUCCUUGAUGGUGGUGAUGUCCACGGUCGAUGCGUGAAACAACGAUUGUAAUUGAAGUUGUAACUGCCAAACUGUGAUCCUCAAUAGGAUAGGAACAUAUUUCAUGAUGCAGGUUGUAGUUUGACAUAGAUGUAAAUUUGGGUCUGUCAAUGUCAUUGAUAUUUUUGUAAUCAUCUAUAUAAUAUGUUGUUCCUAGUAAUGUGUAUUUGUGUAUGGUUCUCGCUACUUGAGGCUCUUGAUACAUUUCCCUAGAUACAGCUUCUAAUUCUCUGUCCA